This 17-nucleotide small RNA is filed under the name Arabidopsis thaliana (thale cress). RNAcentral's name for it is "ATSL007500". Lineage: Eukaryota; Viridiplantae; Streptophyta; Magnoliopsida; Brassicales; Brassicaceae. The record is from RNAcentral.
GUAUAAUUAAUGAGAAC